Molecule: ribosomal RNA, 465 nt
Filed under: Vreelandella stevensii
Lineage: Bacteria; Pseudomonadati; Pseudomonadota; Gammaproteobacteria; Oceanospirillales; Halomonadaceae
Description: partial 16S ribosomal RNA
Rfam family: Bacterial small subunit ribosomal RNA
Source: RNAcentral
UCUACGGGCGGCAGCAGUGGGGAAUAUUGGACAAUGGGCGAAAGCCUGAUCCAGCCAUGCCGCGUGUGUGAAGAAGGCCUUCGGGUUGUAAAGCACUUUCAGUGGGGAAGAAAGCCUUGGGGCUAAUACCCUCGAGGAAGGACAUCACCCACAGAAGAAGCACCGGCUAACUCCGUGCCAGCAGCCGCGGUAAUACGGAGGGUGCGAGCGUUAAUCGGAAUUACUGGGCGUAAAGCGCGCGUAGGCGGUCUGAUAAGCCGGUUGUGAAAGCCCCGGGCUCAACCUGGGAACGGCAUCCGGAACUGUCAGGCUAGAGUGCAGGAGAGGAAGGUAGAAUUCCCGGUGUAGCGGUGAAAUGCGUAGAGAUCGGGAGGAAUACCAGUGGCGAAGGCGGCCUUCUGGACUGACACUGACGCUGAGGUGCGAAAGCGUGGGUAGCAAACAGGAUUAGAUACCCCUGUAGUC